This 1411-nucleotide long non-coding RNA is filed under the name Phasianus colchicus (ring-necked pheasant). RNAcentral's name for it is "lncRNA (ENSPCLG00000013694.1)". The record is from RNAcentral. Lineage: Eukaryota; Metazoa; Chordata; Aves; Galliformes; Phasianidae.
UGGGGCACUGUGGGGCUCUAUGGGGCAGUAUGGGGCUAUGGGGCGCUAUGGGGCAAUAGGAGUCGCUAUGGGGCGCUAUGAGGCAGUAUGGGGCUCCAUGGGGCUCUAUGGGACAGUAUGGUGCACUAUGGGGCAGUAGAGGGCGCUAUGGGGCGCUAUGGGGCAGUAGGGGGCGCUGUGGGGCGCAGUGUUUGCAGCGUGCUGACCUCCUCGACGAGCCGCGCCUGUCCGUGCAGCAGCGCCGGCAGCAGCGCCCUCUGCAGGAGCCGCACCGAGCCGGGGAACAGCAGCCGGCGGCCCAGCGUGUGCGCCAGGACCAGGCUGAAACGGGCGGGGUUACGCGAGGCCACGCCCACUGAGGGGCGGGGCUACGCGAGGCCACGCCCACUAUGGGGCGGGGCUGCGGCAUAGUGUGCAUCUGAACCGGGCUGAAAGGGGCGGGGUUACGCUGGCCACGCCCACUGAGGGGCGGGGCUACGCGAGGCCACGCCCACUAAGGGGCGGGACCGCGACACAGACUGAAUCGGAACCAGGCAGAAAGGGGCGGGGCUGCUGUGGACACGCCCACUAAGGGGCGGGGCUACGGCAUAGCGUGUGAAAGAACCGGGCUGAAGGGGGGCGGGUUACAGUGGCAACGCCCACUGGGGGGCGUGGCUAGGCGAGGCCACGCCCACUAAGGGGCGGGGCUACAGCACAAUGUCAGCCAGAACCGGGCUGAAAGGGGCGGGGAUACGGUGGACACGCCCACUAAGGGGUGGGGCUACUGCACAGUUUGCACCAGAGUCGGACAGAAAGGGGCGGGGUUCCGGUGGCCACGCCCACGGAGGGGCAGGGUUACGGUGGACACGCCCACUAAGGGGCGGGGCUACAACACAGACCAAAUCGGAACCAGACUGAAAGGGGUGGGGUUACGAUGGACACGCCCACUAAGGGGCGGGGCUACGGCAUAGCGUGUGAAAGAACCGGGCUGAAGGGGGCGGGGUUACGGUGAACACGCCCACUAUGGGGCGGGGCUACGGCACAAUGUGAGCCAGAACCGGGUUUAAAGGGGCGGGGUUACGGUGGACACGCCCACUAAGGGGCGGGGCUACGGCACUGUGUGCGAAGAACCGGGCUGAAAGGGGCGGGGUGACGAUGGCUACGCCCACUGAGGGGCGGGGCUACGCGAGGCCACGCCCGAUAAGGGUCGGGGCUACGGCUCAGUGUGCGAAGAACCGGGCUGAAAGGGGCGGGGUUACAGUGGCCACGCCCACCAAGGGGCGGGGCUACGGCAUUGAGUGCGCUUGAACCAGGCUGAAAAGGGGGGUCUACGAUGGACACGCCCACUAAGGGGCGGGACUAAGCCUAGCCACGCCCACUAAUGGGCGGUGCUAUGGCUUCGUGUGCGCCAGAAGGAGGCUGAAAGGGGUGG